GACGUAGGAGGCGAGCGUUGUCCGGAUUCAUUGGGCGUAAAGAGCGCGCAGGCGGCUUGGUAAGUCGGAUGUGAAAUCCCGAGGCUCAACCUCGGGUCUGCAUCCGAUACCGCCCGGCUAGAGGUAGGUAGGGGAGAUCGGAAUUCCUGGUGUAGCGGUGAAAUGCGCAGAUAUCAGGAGGAACACCGGUGGCGAAGGCGGAUCUCUGGGCCACUACUGACGCUGAGAAGCGAAAGCGUGGGGAGCGAACAGG
Molecule: ribosomal RNA, 253 nt
Filed under: uncultured bacterium
Lineage: Bacteria
Description: partial 16S ribosomal RNA
Rfam family: Bacterial small subunit ribosomal RNA
Source: RNAcentral